Bos taurus (domestic cattle) is the source of this 72-nucleotide non-coding RNA. NCBI's taxonomy places the organism in Eukaryota, Metazoa, Chordata, Mammalia, Artiodactyla, Bovidae. The record is from Rfam.
UCCCUGGUGGCUUAGAUGGUAAAGCGUCUGCCUGCAACGCGGGAGACCCAUGUUUGAUCCCUGGGUUGGGAA